Molecule: ribosomal RNA, 301 nt
Filed under: uncultured bacterium
Lineage: Bacteria
Description: partial 16S ribosomal RNA
Rfam family: Bacterial small subunit ribosomal RNA
Source: RNAcentral
CAGCCGCCGCGGUAAAACAGAGGGUGCGAGCGUUAAUCGGAUUUACUGGGCGUAAAGCGUGCGUAGGCGGCUUCUUAAGUCGGAUGUGAAAUCCCUGAGCUUAACUUAGGAAUUGCAUUCGAUACUGGGAAGCUAGAGUAUGGGAGAGGAUGGUAGAAUUCCAGGUGUAGCGGUGAAAUGCGUAGAGAUCUGGAGGAAUACCGAUGGCGAAGGCAGCCAUCUGGCCUAAUACUGACGCUGAGGUACGAAAGCAUGGGGAGCAAACAGGAUUAGAUACCCGUGUAGUCCCUGUCUCUAUACC